This 373-nucleotide ribosomal RNA is filed under the name uncultured eukaryote. RNAcentral describes it as "partial 18S ribosomal RNA". It matches the Rfam family "Eukaryotic small subunit ribosomal RNA", at positions 592 to 976 of the family's 1831-position model. The record is from RNAcentral.
UGUAAGCGUAUACCAAAGUUGUUGCAGUUAAAACGCUCGUAGUUGAAUUUUUGCUUGCCGCCGAUGUCGGAACUUCCGUACGUUCGGCGGCGUGCAUCCUUGGGUGGAACCUGUGUGGCAUUAGGUUGUCGUGCAGGGGAUGCUCAUCGUUUACUGUGAAAAAAUUAGAGUGUUCAAAGCAGGCUUACGCCGUUGAAUAUAUUAGCAUGGAAUAAUAAGAUAGGACCUUGGUACUAUUUUGUUGGUUUGCGCACCGAGGUAAUGAUUAACAGGGACAGUUGGGGGUAUUCGUAUUCCAUUGUCAGAGGUGAAAUUCUUGGAUUUCUGGAAGACGAACUACUGCGAAAGCAUUUACCAAGGAUGUUUUCAUUAA